RNAcentral lists this ribosomal RNA (420 nucleotides) under Triticum aestivum (bread wheat). Its description in RNAcentral is "partial small subunit ribosomal RNA". Lineage: Eukaryota; Viridiplantae; Streptophyta; Magnoliopsida; Poales; Poaceae. The record is from RNAcentral.
AUGUCUUCCUCCACCUCCUCCUCCUCCCAGCCAAACCUCAGCGGUGGAGUCACGGAGAAACUCUCCCGCACCAACUACAUCCUCUGGCGGACCCAGAUCACGCCACAGCUACAGGGCGCCGGCGUCUACCACUACGUCGACGGUACGUUGACCGAGCCGGCCAAAACCCACGUCACCAAAGAUGCCGCUGGGAGAGAAACCGAGGGGCCGAAUCCUCUCCAUCCGCUCUGGGUGAAGGAGGAUCAGCAGGUCCUUGGAUAUCUACUCCAACACCUAUCCAAGGAGGUGCUCGUCACGGUGACCGCGAUCACCACGGCGCGGGAACUCUGGGUGGCGCUGGCGAGCAUGUUCUCGUCGCAGUCCCUCAGCUGCGUCAACAACAUUCGCACGGCGCCGAUCAACGCGCAGAAGGGCAACUAA